GUGAGGAAUAUUGGUCAAUGGACGGAAGUCUGAACCAGCCAUGCCGCGUGCAGGAAGACGGCUCUAUGAGUUGUAAACUGCUUUUGUACAAGGGUAAACCUGAAUACGUGUAUUCAGCUGAAAGUACUGUACGAAUAAGGAUCGGCUAACUCCGUGCCAGCAGCCGCGGUAAUACGGAGGAUCCAAGCGUUAUCCGGAUUUAUUGGGUUUAAAGGGUGCGUAGGCGGAUUGAUAAGUUAGAGGUGAAAUGUCCGAGCUCAACUCGGGAACUGCCUCUAAUACUGUUGAUCUAGAGAGUAGAUGCGGUAGGCGGAAUGUAUGGUGUAGCGGUGAAAUGCUUAGAGAUCAUACAGAACACCGAUUGCGAAGGCAGCUUACCAAUCUAUAUCUGACGUUGAGGCACGAAAGCGUGGGGAGCAAACAGGAUUAGAAACCCCUGUAGUCC
This 445-nucleotide ribosomal RNA is filed under the name uncultured Rikenellaceae bacterium. Its description in RNAcentral is "bacterial SSU rRNA". It matches the Rfam family "Bacterial small subunit ribosomal RNA", at positions 354 to 796 of the family's 1533-position model. Lineage: Bacteria; Pseudomonadati; Bacteroidota; Bacteroidia; Bacteroidales; Rikenellaceae. The record is from RNAcentral.